Molecule: ribosomal RNA, 446 nt
Filed under: uncultured bacterium
Lineage: Bacteria
Description: partial 16S ribosomal RNA
Rfam family: Bacterial small subunit ribosomal RNA
Source: RNAcentral
CCUACGGGCGGCAGCAGUCGAGAAUCAUUCACAAUGGGGGAAACCCUGAUGGUGCGACGCCGCGUGGGGGAAUGAAGGUCUUCGGAUUGUAAACCCCUGUCAUGUGGGAGCAAAUUAAAAAGAUAGUACCACAAGAGGAAGAGACGGCUAACUCUGUGCCAGCAGCCGCGGUAAUACAGAGGUCUCAAGCGUUGUUCGGAAUCACUGGGCGUAAAGCGUGCGGAGGCUGUUUCGUAAGUCGUGUGUGAAAGGCGCGGGCUCAACCCGCGGACGGCACAUGAUACUGCGAGACUAGAGUAAUGGAGGGGGAACCGGAAUUCUCGGUGUAGCAGUGAAAUGCGUAGAUAUCGGGAGGAACACUCGUGGCGAAGGCGGGUUCCUGGACAUUAACUGACGCUGAGGCACGAAGGCCAGGGGAGCGAACGGGAUUAGAUACCCGGGUAGUC